UGGGGAAUUUUGGACAAUGGGCGCAAGCCUGAUCCAGCCAUUCCGCGUGCAGGAUGAAGGCCUUCGGGUUGUAAACUGCUUUUGUACGGAACGAAAAGGUGGCCUCUAAUACAGGUUGCUAAUGACGGUACCGUAAGAAUAAGCACCGGCUAACUACGUGCCAGCAGCCGCGGUAAUACGUAGGGUGCAAGCGUUAAUCGGAAUUACUGGGCGUAAAGCGUGCGCAGGCGGUGAUGUAAGACAGAUGUGAAAUCCCCGGGCUUAACCUGGGAACUGCAUUUGUGACUGCAUCGCUAGAGUACGGCAGAGGGGGAUGGAAUUCCGCGUGUAGCAGUGAAAUGCGUAGAUAUGCGGAGGAACACCGAUGGCGAAGGCAAUCCCCUGGGCCUGUACUGACGCUCAUGCACGAAAGCGUGGGGAGCAAACAGG
Molecule: ribosomal RNA, 429 nt
Filed under: uncultured bacterium
Lineage: Bacteria
Description: bacterial SSU rRNA
Rfam family: Bacterial small subunit ribosomal RNA
Source: RNAcentral